AGAUCCAUUUUCUGCCACCGAAUACAUUAGCAUGGGAUAAUGGAAUAGGACCCUGUCCUCCUAUUUUCAGUUGGUUUUGGCAGCGCGAGGACUAGGGUAAUGAUUAAUAGGGAUAGUUGGGGGCAUUAAUAUUUAAUUGUCAGAGGUGAAAUUCUUGGAUUUAUGAAAGAUUAACUUCUGCGAAAGCAUCUGCCAAGGAUGUUUUCAUUAAUCAAGAACGAAAGUUAGGGGAUCGAAGACGAUCAGAUACCGUCGUAGUCUUAACCAUAAACGAUGCCGACCAGCGAUUAGGAGACGUUGAAUACAAAACACCACCAUCGGUUGCGGUCGUCCUUGGCGUCUCGGUUUCGGCCGGGGCGCGGGGAUGGCUUAGCCCGGUGGCACCGGUGAAUGACUCCCCUAGCAGCUUGUGAGAA
RNAcentral lists this ribosomal RNA (416 nucleotides) under Acanthamoeba culbertsoni. RNAcentral describes it as "SSU rRNA". It matches the Rfam family "Eukaryotic small subunit ribosomal RNA", at positions 782 to 1096 of the family's 1831-position model. Lineage: Eukaryota; Discosea; Longamoebia; Acanthamoebidae. The record is from RNAcentral.